AACUCUUUGGGUCUUUCCACAUAGGUGGAAAGCAAAGGCCAUAUCUUGGCUAGAAAAGAAGAACGAUCUAGUGAGCAAAGGAGGGAUGAAUUUUCCUAAUUUUUCCUCUUUCUUCUUUGUCAUAUUCUUUACCUUUGCUAUUUUAUUUUAGUUAUUAUUUUUUAUUUAUUAUUUUGAGAGGAAACCAAAGAAUCUUUCCUCUAAAAUCUUUAAUGAUGAAAGUUACCAGGAGUUAAGCUUAGCUGUAAAAGUCUCCUCUCUGCCUUGCUCUCUGUGGGAAUAUGCAAUGUUUUGACAAAAGCUAGUUCAGGAAAAACGUUCAUGUACAAAAGUUCUGGGAGCUGAUAAUAGUUGUGUUCUUUUCUUUUCCUUAUAUAUAUAUAAAGUAUGUCUGAGAUAUUAAGCAUUAGCAUUGUUGAGUUAUGGUUUUGAUGAUAACAUAAACCACAUCUUCAAAGCAAACAACUUUGCUAAAAAUUUACUGCUGUAGUGAUUCUUUGACUUGUCUGUAGCUACCCUUGCUUAAGAAAUAAGGAAUUACAUGGAUGACUAGACUUGGAAACUGAUCUUGAUCAUUUUGGGCUUAUUUCUUAAUUAGCAUGGUUAUCCUAUCUUCAUUGAUUGCUUACAGAUACAUGAUCUUUUUCUUUUUGGA
Molecule: unclassified non-coding RNA, 655 nt
Filed under: Hevea brasiliensis (rubber tree)
Lineage: Eukaryota; Viridiplantae; Streptophyta; Magnoliopsida; Malpighiales; Euphorbiaceae
Source: RNAcentral